RNAcentral lists this ribosomal RNA (384 nucleotides) under Anopheles pattoni. RNAcentral's name for it is "eukaryotic LSU rRNA". It matches the Rfam family "Eukaryotic large subunit ribosomal RNA", at positions 646 to 964 of the family's 3401-position model. Lineage: Eukaryota; Metazoa; Arthropoda; Insecta; Diptera; Culicidae. The record is from RNAcentral.
GACCCGUCUUGAAACACGGACCAAGAAGUCUAUCUUGCGCGCAAGCCAAUGGGUGUCGCGUGGUACCGGCGUGUACUGCGCACAUGUGUAAACCCCACAGGCGUAGAGAACUCGAACAGUUCAGGGAUUACGGGUUCGGCAACGGCGCAAGCCUUCGUCGGGCCCCUCCAUCCCGGGGUGUCCCGCUGCCGGGCUUCGGCCCGAGUGGGCAUCCCUCGAGUGCGUAGGAUGUGACCCGAAAGAUGGUGAACUAUGCCUGAUCAGGCCGAAGUCAGGGGAAACCCUGAUGGAGGGCCGAAGCAAUUCUGACGUGCAAAUCGAUUGUCAGAGUUGGGCAUAGGGGCGAAAGACCAAUCGAACCAUCUAGUAGCUGGUUCCUUCCGA